This is a long non-coding RNA of Anolis carolinensis (green anole), 1770 nucleotides long. NCBI's taxonomy places the organism in Eukaryota, Metazoa, Chordata, Lepidosauria, Squamata, Anolidae. The record is from Ensembl.
UGCCUGACCCCAAGAAACAAAUACAGUAGAGUCUCACUUAUCCAACAUAAAUGGGCCGGCAGACUGUUGGAUAAGCUAAUAUGUUGGAUAAUAAGGAGGGAGGGAUUAAGGAAAAGCCUAUUACACAUCAAAUUAGGUUAUGAUUUUACAAAUUAAGCACCAAAACAUCAUGUUAUACAACAAAUUUGACAGAAAAAGUAGUUCAAUACGCAGUAAUGUUAUGUUAUUAGUAAUUACUGUAUUUACGAAUUUAGCACCAAAAUAUCGUGAUGUAUUGAAAACAUUGACUACAAUACAGUAAUUACUACGUAGCAUUACUGCAUAUUGAACUACUUUUUCUGCCAAAUUUGUUGUAUAACAUGAUGUUUUGGUGCUUACUUUGUAAAAUCAUAACCCAUUUUGAUGUUUAAUAGGCUUCUCCUUAAUCUUUCAUUAUCCAACGUAUUUGCUUAUCCAACGUUCUGCCAUCCUGUUUAUGUUGGAUAAGUGACACUCUACUGUAUUAUUAUUAUUAUUAUUAUUAUUAUUAUUAUUAUUAUUAUUAUUAUUAUUAUUAUUUUAUUGUAUGACACAGCAAACAAAAUAGAUAUGCUGGAUUUCGUUACACAAAAUCACAAGUCGAACACUUCCCAAGUGUCUAGGACUGUGUGAUGUAUUUUCGGAUGAUGCGUGCAGAUCCCAGUAGGGUGGCCUUUUGCAGUUGGGGUUAUUAUUAUUAUUAUUAUUAUUAUUAUUAUUAUUAUUAUUUAUGUCACACUUUUCCCCCAAGAGUGGAUUUAGAACCCUACAAAAAUUAAAACAAUUCAAAACCUUACAAUAUAUUUUAAAACUGAGAAAAACCAUAGUAAUAAUCAUAAAAUAAUUAUUACAAUAAGUAGUCUAAACAAUUCAAACCAAUUAAAAGAAAUACAUUAAAAACAGAGGCAAAAUAGCAAAACGUUGUACUAUUAAAAUGUCUGGCAUUGGGUUUAAAAAGCAUGGAAAAAAAUACUUGCUGAUUGAAUGGCAGCAAUGUACAUACCUUCUAACUGUCUCAAUAGGGCCAAUUAAUCACAUAUCAUUCCACUUUUUCAUCUGUUUUUUUUAAUAUUCCUGUUUCUCUUGCCUCUUCCCAUUGUCUCUUCUGGCCACAUCUUACUCUGAUUGCUGAAGAAUGAGUUCAAAGUGCAAAGCAAUUUCCACUCAGCUCUACACUGGGGAGAGAAGAGGGCAGAAUCUUGCCUUUCCUUUAUGGCCUUAGGCAAAAGCAAAGUGCUGCAGCCUCUUCAGACUUUGUUUUUCUUAUUAAUACAUUUUACCAUCUUGAUCAUGCUCUGAUGUUGCUUGACCACACAUGUUACAGUUUUCAACUAUUAAAUAUUGGAAGAGAUCAAGAAGGAAGAUAUGCUAGAAUCCAAUGCCUGGCAACACCAUUAAGAAGGUUAGUCUCAUUUUGGGUGAUACAGUCCUUUUAUUAGCUUGGACCUGACCCAUCUAGGUGUUUCUACCCCAUGGAACAUUGUAGUAUUUGUGACACCAACAGAAACCAAGCUGGCAAAAUUUGAAAUUUGAAAAAAGAAAUAAGUAGUUCCUAUAGGUUCAUCCUUACCAUUGGACUAAUACUGGGGGUCAAUGAGAAGGAGUAAGGUGAGGAUAUCAUAAUAGUAUGCAUUGUGCGAUGGCGUUACUUCAUUUGCGAUGGUUUAAUCUAAUUACGAAGACUCAAUCCAGACGCUGCCACCAAUUGCGAUGAUGCUAAAGCCAAUUGGGAAGACUCAAGCCAAUUGUAAU